This 983-nucleotide ribosomal RNA is filed under the name Trachelomonas abrupta. RNAcentral's name for it is "partial large subunit ribosomal RNA". It matches the Rfam family "Eukaryotic large subunit ribosomal RNA", at positions 2172 to 2960 of the family's 3401-position model. The record is from RNAcentral. Lineage: Eukaryota; Euglenozoa; Euglenophyceae; Euglenales; Euglenaceae.
AGCUGGCUGAUCCCGCGAGGUGACUUCUGCCCAGUGCUCUGGUUGUCAUCCGGAAGAGAUUCAGCCAAGCGCGGGUAAACGGCGGGAGUAACUAUGACUCUCUUGAGGUAGCCAAAUGCCUCGUCAGCCAAUUACUGACGCGCAUGAAUGGAUCAACGAGAUUCCUGCUGUCCCUGGCGGCGAUCUGGUGAACCAACAGCCAAGGGAACGGGCUUGGAUGCGCCAGCGGGGAAAGAAGACCCUGUUGAGUUUGACUCUAGUCUGGUGCCGUGCAGUGGCAUGAUGGGCGUAGCACAAGUGGCAGGCCAGCGCAGCGGUUCGUCCCGGGAGCAGAAUGUUGGAGCCAACAGGCUUUGCGGUUGAGCAGUCACACCCAGCUCGAGGCCACAGAGUUUACGGGUCCCGCAGCGCCAGUCAUCAGUGAAAUACCACUACCAUCACCGUCGCUUUGCUCAUCGAGUUGCCUUGGAUCUGCAGGCUCACUCCGUUUUGGACAUCGGCUCGUCCCUCGAGGAUGGGCCGCGGCCAUGUCCAGCUUCGUGCACAAAGUCCAGCGCCCAAGCUGUGCUGGACGACCAUUGGCGUUGCAUUCCAGAGCAGGCCUCGAGAUUGGCACCAGAUUGGGAGUUUGGCUGGGGCGGCACGCCUGUUACAGCACAACGCAGGCGUCCUGAAGCAGUGCUCAGAGGGAACAGAACUCUCUCGGGGCGAAGCAGGUCAAAUGCGCUGCUGAUGCUGCGGCUUCCAGUCCGAGCCCACAACGCGACAGCGUGGCUUAUCGAUCCUUCGGCCAAGCAUACGAGUUCGGGACACUGAAGCCGGAGGUGCCAGAAAAAUUACCACAGGGAUAACUGGCUUGUGGCAGCCAAGCGUUCACAGCGACGUUGCUUUUUGAUCCUUCGAUGUCGGCUCUUCCUAGCUUGCCGCCCGCAGCCGAGCGCAAGAGUUGGAUUGUUCACCCACUAACAGGGAACGUGAGCUGG